GGUCCGAGCGGCGACGGGUGAGUAACACGUGAGCAACCUGCCCCUGACUCUGGGAUAAGCGGUGGAAACGCCGUCUAAUACCGGAUACGACCCGCCACCUCAUGGUGGAGGGUGGAAAGUUUUUCGGUCAGGGAUGGGCUCGCGGCCUAUCAGCUUGUUGGUGGGGUAACGGCCUACCAAGGCGAUUACGGGUAGCCGGCCUGAGAGGGCGACCGGCCACACUGGGACUGAGACACGGCCCAGACUCCUGCGGGAGGCAGCAGUGGGGAAUAUUGCGCAAUGGGCGAAAGCCUGACGCAGCGACGCCGCGUGGGGGAUGACGGCCUUCGGGUUGUAAACCUCUUUUACCACCAACGCAGGCUCGAAGUUUUCUUGGGGUUGACGGUAGGUGGGGAAUAAGGACCGGCUAACUACGUGCCAGCAGCCGCGGUAAUACGUAGGGUCCGAGCGUUGUCCGGAAUUAUUGGGCGUAAAGAGCUCGUAGGCGGCGUGUCGCGUCUGCUGUGAAAGACCGGGGCUUAACUCCGGUUCUGCAGUGGAUACGGGCAUGCUAGAGGUAGGUAGGGGAGACUGGAAUUCCUGGUGUAGCGGUGAAAUGCGCAGAUAUCAGGAGGAACACCGGUGGCGAAGGCGGGUCUCUGGGCCUUACCUGACGCUGAGGAGCGAAAGCAUGGGGAGCGAACAGGAUUAGAUACCCUGGUAGUCCAUGCCGUAAACGUUGGGCGCUAGGUGUGGGGACUUUCCACGGUUUCCGCGCCGUAGCUAACGCAUUAAGCGCCCCGCCUGGGGAGUACGGCCGCAAGGCUAAAACUCAAAGGAAUUGACGGGGGCCCGCACAAGCGGCGGAGCAUGUUGCUUAAUUCGACGCAACGCGAAGAACCUUACCAAGGUUUGACAUCACCCGUGGACUCGCAGAGAUGUGAGGUCAUUUAGUUGGCGGGUGACAGGUGGUGCAUGGCUGUCGUCAGCUCGUGUCGUGAGAUGUUGGGUUAAGUCCCGCAACGAGCGCAACCCUUGUUCCAUGUUGCCAGCACGUAAUGGUGGGGACUCAUGGGAGACUGCCGGGGUCAACUCGGAGGAAGGUGGGGAUGACGUCAAGUCAUCAUGCCCCUUAUGUCUUGGGCUGCAAACAUGCUACAAUGGCCGGUACAAUGGGCGUGCGAUACCGUAAGGUGGAGCGAAUCCCUAAAAGCCGGUCUCAGUUCGGAUUGGGGUCUGCAACUCGACCCCAUGAAGGUGGAGUCGCUAGUAAUCGCGGAUGAGCAACGCCGCG
This 1273-nucleotide ribosomal RNA is filed under the name Nocardiopsis sp. RNAcentral's name for it is "bacterial SSU rRNA". It matches the Rfam family "Bacterial small subunit ribosomal RNA", at positions 88 to 1361 of the family's 1533-position model. The record is from RNAcentral. Lineage: Bacteria; Bacillati; Actinomycetota; Actinomycetes; Streptosporangiales; Nocardiopsidaceae.